GGCGGGGUGGUGCAACGGUAGCACGUCGCGCUCUGAACGCGAAAUUUUUGGUUCGAAUCCAGACCCCGCAACCA
Molecule: transfer RNA, 74 nt
Filed under: Inoviridae sp.
Lineage: Floreoviria; Loebvirae; Hofneiviricota; Faserviricetes; Tubulavirales; Inoviridae
Description: tRNA-Gln
Rfam family: tRNA
About the family: Transfer RNA (tRNA) molecules are approximately 80 nucleotides in length. Their secondary structure includes four short double-helical elements and three loops (D, anti-codon, and T loops).
Source: RNAcentral